This is a non-coding RNA of Microcebus murinus (gray mouse lemur), 1310 nucleotides long. NCBI's taxonomy places the organism in Eukaryota, Metazoa, Chordata, Mammalia, Primates, Cheirogaleidae. The record is from RefSeq and is a predicted model, not a curated record.
GGGCAAUGUAGCAAGACCCUGUCUGUACAAAAAACAAAUUAAGUUAAAUUGACAAAUUAAUUAAUUAACUUAAAAUGUGUUCAUUAGGGUGGUCCCAAUCCAAGAUGACUGGUGUUCUUAUAAAGAAAUUAGAAGACAGAGGGACAACCAUCUGCAAGCCAAGGAGAGAGCCCUCAAUACCUUGAUCUUGGACUUCUAGCCUCCAGAAUGGUGCAGCCUGAAGUUCUCUGAGCAUGAGUGACCUUCCAGUGUGUCAGAGCCAUUAGUAGGGUCAUUGCUUCAGGGGAAACUGAUGGAGAUGUGGAAUAGACACAAAUAAAAUCAAUGCCAAGCUGGAGGUAGUGAAGCAGGCCACUGAAGAUUCGUGAGCAGUGGGGUGAUGAGGUCAGAUCUGUGCUGUAGAAGGAUUAGAAUGGUUUCAAACUGAGUAGAGCAAAGGUGAAAUCCAAACACUUUCUCCCACUUGAAUAGAAUAAAUAUUCGUGUAUCUAUCUCAUCCCCCCAUCUGAGUUCCUUCCCAACUAAGGUCAGCAUGACCCAAAGUUGGAGUAAAUUAACAAGUGGGAGAAGGAGCUAGGCAUGGUGACUUGGGCCUGUAGUCCCAACUGCUAGGGAGGCUAAGGUGGGAAGAUUCCUUGAGCUCAGGAGUUCAAGGCCAGCCUGGACAACAUAACAAGACUUGCAUCUCUAAUUAAAUAAAAAAUAGGUGGAGGCCUAGAAACAACCCAACUAUCCAUCAACAGGUGAAUGGAUUAACAAUGAUAGUGUAGACAUAAAUGGAAUACUACUCAGGAAAAAAAAAAUAAAAUAAGGAGGGGGAUUGUUAGGGACAGGUGCAGGUUGGCAGUACUAAUGACAGGAAAAGAGGAGGGGGGCAAAAAUGAGGAAGUCAAUGAGCAUUUAGAACCAAACCCAGAACAGCAGGAACUUGGGGUUAGGGACUUAUCCUGGCCAGGAGCAUGCACAAAAACUAGGAGCUCAUGCCCAGAGGUAACUUUUUCCCGCAUUGACAGUAAAAAUCACACCCAUCAGUGCCAUGACAUUUCACAAUUGUCAUGGCAACCCCUGAAAGUUACCCUAUAAAGAUAAAAUUGAGGAGGGCCUUUAGCUCUAAGAACUCUCCACCCUUUUUCCAGAGAAAUAAUGAAUAUUCUAUCCACUAUUUAGCAUAUCAUAAGAUAUAGACACAAAAGUAGACAUGUGGUAAGACCCUAGCAUCUUCUCCACUUCAGAAAUAGACCCAUUUCCCCUCAGGAAACAUCCUUUCUAUUUCUGUACUAAAAAGCCAGCAAUAAAAGCUGUUUGUGUGA